GUAGUCCACACCCUAAACGAUGAGAACUAGUUGUUGGCCCUUUUAAGGGUCAGUGACUUAGCUAACGCAUUAAGUUCUCCACCUGGGAAGUACGAUCGCAAGGUUGAAACUCAAAGGAAUUGACGGGGGCCCGCACAAGCAGUGGAGCAUGUGGUUUAAUUCGAUGCAACGCGAAGAACCUUACCUAGGCUUGAAACGCAAGUUAAAUUUGGUGAAAGCCAUUGUCCCGCAAGGGGAACUUGUACAGGUGCUGCAUGGCUGUCGUCAGCUCGUGCCGUGAGGUGUUGGGUUAAGUCCCGCAACGAGCGCAACCCUCGUCCUUAGUUGCCAGCAAGUAAUGUUGGGCACUCUAAGGAGACUGCCUACGCAAGUAGUGA
Molecule: ribosomal RNA, 377 nt
Filed under: uncultured bacterium
Lineage: Bacteria
Description: bacterial SSU rRNA
Rfam family: Bacterial small subunit ribosomal RNA
Source: RNAcentral